CUUCAUCACAACUACAAAUUAACGUAUCACAAAACAUUCAUUUCUAUACUUGAAACAAACAUUGUGGCACGUUAACAUUUGCAAUAUCCAGAAAUGAAGAAGGUUGUUGUUUUCUAUUGUCUUCUUGUAAUAAUUCUCAUGUUAUCAAUGGAUGAGUUGUAUCUACCAAACCAAGUCAGGAUCUUGGACUUGUCCCCUAUCAAAUCCGAAGAAGAAGAUAGGAAUGAUUUAAUCCGAGGUCGCAGUAACAGGGUGACUUGGAGCAAUGCCAAUCCUUCACCUUUUCCAAAUAUUAGAAGUCAUUAUGGAUGUGGUGACAAUUGCUUUUAGGGCUGCUGAGGAUGGGCAUGGGAAAUACUUCGGCAAAAUUUGGGAUGAGAUGGAACAAAAUGGCAUCUAUAGGCUGUUUGGGUGGUGUGUUCCUAUAUUGUAUUCUAUUUCAUUGUUAUUAAAUAAGAUAUUUUAUGGCUGUUACUUAAAAUAUAUUAUGUUAUAUUGUUAAAUUCAUUGAUAUGUAACCAUAUAAGGACUAUCAUUUAUGUAAGCAUCUAUUUGGUG
Long non-coding RNA from Nicotiana attenuata, 558 nucleotides. RefSeq lists it as uncharacterized. The record is from RefSeq and is a predicted model, not a curated record. NCBI's taxonomy places the organism in Eukaryota, Viridiplantae, Streptophyta, Magnoliopsida, Solanales, Solanaceae. The transcript is spliced from 3 exons.